GGGUACGAGGGUAAAGUGGUCGAGCCGCCUACCUGUCACGUAGGAGAUAGCCAGUUCAAAUCUGGUCGUACCCGCCA
This 77-nucleotide transfer RNA is filed under the name Vibrio phage 70E38.1. RNAcentral's name for it is "tRNA-Asp". It matches the Rfam family "tRNA". From Rfam's summary of the family: Transfer RNA (tRNA) molecules are approximately 80 nucleotides in length. Their secondary structure includes four short double-helical elements and three loops (D, anti-codon, and T loops). RNAcentral also lists the same sequence under 283 other names. The record is from RNAcentral. Lineage: Duplodnaviria; Heunggongvirae; Uroviricota; Caudoviricetes; Demerecviridae.